GUAGCAUGUGGUUUUGAAAUCGAAACUGCCGUAGUAAUCAUUACUUUUUACAUUGUCCAAUUUUCGCUGCUCACAGAUUGCAGCUGCUCAUCUCUGCUGCUCGUAUUCAUGUUGAUAGAUCCGAUUCACAAAAAAUAAAGCUUCUUUUUUUGUUUGGAUCCUCACUAUUUUCUGAGGAUGAAAAUUUUAAAUCUUUCACCACGUCCAAAAUUUUAUAAAUGAAACUAAACGUUUCCAUACUCAGGAGAUCUGAAUCUGUUUGCAGUUCAGCUUUCAGUACUUCCUUGUGUGUUUUCUUCUAUAUACUACACGCGUAAAAAUUGAUCAGGUUGUUCGGCGUUGUUCAUUGAACAAUGCCCGAACAAUGUUGUUAUCAUGGCUGAACAACGUUGUUCAAGCGACAAUCGUUAACAACAUUGUUCCAACAACUUGUUCACGCUUGAUGAACGAACAAUGGUUGUUGCAACAUGAUGGAACAAGCGUCAACAAGGUUGAUGAAACAUGCUUGAUAAAUGUUGUCAGAACAAUGUUGUUCAGCGUUGUUCGUUCAUCAGGCGUCAACAAUAUUGUUCGAACAGGCGUUAACAACAUUGAUGAAAGAACAAGUUGUUUUUAGUUGUUCGAACAACCGUGAACAGCAUUGUUAUAAAUAGACGGUAAAAUAAUUAUUUGAAAAACACGAAAACUUGUUUUUAUUGGUUGUUGCGAAGCGCUGGGAUGCAAAACGGACGAAUGCGACGAAUAUCACGAGAGCAAGAAAUCAAACGGCUGGGCUUUUACAGCAAAAUAAAUAUCGUUUAAACUUUGUGGUUUUUUAUGAAGAUUGAGGGGAAAAUACUGAAGAAAAUAACUUGGUAAGUGUCUUGUUUUGAGGUAAGGUUAGUUGUAUAGGCUUAAAACAACGCGACCUUUUGAUUUUAGUCAUUUUCAUAGCACACGGACAAACUUAAAAGUACUCAGUUUUAUAUAGGCAUUGGAUUUUCAUAUUUUUCUCGAUGUUUUCAGUAUACAUGCAACAAGAAACCACGGUCAUACUGUAAUAAAAAGCCGUAAAUAUAAACAAAACAUUUAAUUCUCAAAAUAUUGUUCAAAUUUUUCCAAAUACACUUUAAAUUUCUGUCAGAGUCUUUUUAACUUUGAAAUUUGAAUAUGUCAAAAAAGCUAUCAUAUCAUAUGUCCUCCGCUCC
Paramuricea clavata is the source of this 1187-nucleotide non-coding RNA. Lineage: Eukaryota; Metazoa; Cnidaria; Anthozoa; Malacalcyonacea; Plexauridae. The record is from the annotation of a GenBank genome assembly.